GGGGCCGUAGCUCAAAUGGGAGAGCGUCUGCCUUGCAAGCAGAGGGUUGUCGGUUCAAAUCCGACCGGUCUCCACCA
Molecule: transfer RNA, 77 nt
Filed under: bacterium
Lineage: Bacteria
Description: tRNA-Ala
Rfam family: tRNA
About the family: Transfer RNA (tRNA) molecules are approximately 80 nucleotides in length. Their secondary structure includes four short double-helical elements and three loops (D, anti-codon, and T loops).
Source: RNAcentral